AUGCCUUACUAAAUUCAUCACCAUUCAUCCUUACGAUAAAGGAAAUUUACCUCAACCUGAGGAGUAAUAAUGCUGAGAAUACCAUUUUUCCAGUUUUGAUCAUUAACAUUUCAGUGUGCUUCUUAGAAAAGAGUACGCAGUUUCUUUAUGGAAUCGUGUGGUCCUGGCACGGAGAUUAUUGAGCCAACGCUGGCUUUUUUCCAUGACCAACGUUCUGCUCCAUCCUUAUCUUCCCGACGUACGCUCAUCCAGCUUCUUACAUAAAAAAAACAACUUCACUGACGAGUUGGAACACUUCAGUGGUCGCUUCCGUGCCGCUGUUGCACACCUGCAGUCAUUCACCACGGGAUUAUGCCCAGGUAAUGCACGUCGAGAAGAUGGACACCAAAACGUCGACGGUAUCUCCAAAAUGUCAGCGCGGAUCAUCAUUUGUUGUUGGUAAUAUUUGUGUUUGUGUUAGUUAACCCGUUGUCUGCCACGCCUUUGUUCUCCCCUAGCUCCUUAAGCAUUGGCCGCGCCGAAAGGCCCUGUUAGGCAAUGCACCAUAGGGACUUCCCCCUUGUCAGCCCGGACUUGUCAGCAAUGGCAAGUCCCACCUUGGCCAUGGAUCCUUCAGACGUGGCGCGUAGAAUAGUAGAUAGUACAACCUACUGGUUGUAUGGCGUGGCAGCCAACGGGUUAACUUAAGUGUAUGUGUGUAUGUAUAUGUGUAUGUCAUUGUAAAAUGU
This is a long non-coding RNA of Daphnia pulex (common water flea), 728 nucleotides long. RefSeq lists it as uncharacterized. The transcript is spliced from 4 exons. Lineage: Eukaryota; Metazoa; Arthropoda; Branchiopoda; Diplostraca; Daphniidae. The record is from RefSeq and is a predicted model, not a curated record.